CACAGUGUAGCACAGUGGUUAAGGAGCAGGGCUUGAAACUGAGAGAUUGCCGGUUUGAUUCCCCACUGGGG
RNAcentral lists this transfer RNA (71 nucleotides) under Megalops atlanticus (tarpon). RNAcentral describes it as "tRNA-OTHER". Lineage: Eukaryota; Metazoa; Chordata; Actinopteri; Elopiformes; Megalopidae. The record is from RNAcentral.